RNAcentral lists this ribosomal RNA (386 nucleotides) under uncultured eukaryote. RNAcentral describes it as "SSU rRNA". It matches the Rfam family "Eukaryotic small subunit ribosomal RNA", at positions 587 to 972 of the family's 1831-position model. The record is from RNAcentral.
AGCUCCAAUAGCGUAUACUAAAAUUGCUGCAGUUAAAAAGCUCGUAGUUGGAAUCCUGGGUGCGGUGUGGCCCGGUCUGCCGUGAAGGUGUGCACUGGCUACGCCCCCCGCAAUCGCUCAGUAGCGCCCAUCUGAUCUUAACUGGUUGGGUGGGGCCGCUCUGGGCCGUUUACUGUGAGUAAAUAAGGGUGUUUAAAGCAAGCAAUCGCUCUGAAUUCAAUAGCAUGGGAUAAUAGAACACGAGGCGCUGUGGUUUCGGUUGGUUGCCACAGCGCCUAAUGAUCAAUAGGAACGGUCGGGGGUAUUCGUAUUGAAUUGUCAGAGGUGAAAUUCUUAGAUUUAUGCAAGACGAACUACUGCGAAAGCAUCUACCAAGGACGCUUUCA